UACAUAGGGGGCUAGCGUUGUCCGGAAUCAUUGGGCGUAAAGAGCGUGUAGGCGGCUCGGUAAGUCCGCUGUAAAAGUCAAAGGCUCAACCUUUGAAUGUCAGUGGAUACUGCCGGGCUAGAGUCCGGAAGAGGCGAGUGGAACUCCUGGUGUAGCGGUGGAAUGCGCAGAUAUCAGGAAGAACACCAACGGCGAAGGCAGCUCGCUGGGACGGUACUGACGCUGAGACGCGAAAGCGUGGGGAGCGAACAGG
This 253-nucleotide ribosomal RNA is filed under the name uncultured bacterium. Its description in RNAcentral is "partial 16S ribosomal RNA". It matches the Rfam family "Bacterial small subunit ribosomal RNA", at positions 524 to 776 of the family's 1533-position model. The record is from RNAcentral.